UGGGGAAUAUUGCACAAUGGGCGAAAGCCUGAUGCAGCAACGCCGCGUGAGUGAUGAAGGCCUUCGGGUUGUAAAGCUCUGUCUUUUGGGACGAUAAUGACGGUACCAAAGGAGGAAGCCACGGCUAACUACGUGCCAGCAGCCGCGGUAAUACGUAGGUGGCAAGCGUUGUCCGGAUUUACUGGGCGUAAAGGAUGCGUAGGCGGAUUUUUAAGUGAGAUGUGAAAACCCUAAGCUUAACUUGGGGACUGCAUUUCAUACUGGAAAUCUAGAGUGCGGGAGAGGAGAAUGGAAUUCCUAGUGUAGCGGUGAAAUGCGUAGAGAUUAGGAAGAACACCAGUGGCGAAGGCGAUUCUCUGGACCGUAACUGAUGCUGAGGCAUGAAAGCGUGGGUAGCAAACAGGAUUAGAUACCCUGGUAGUCCACGCCGUAAACGAUGAGUACUAGGUGUAGGAGGUAUCGACCCCUUCUGUGCCGCAGUUAACACAAUAAGUACUCCGCCUGGGAAGUACGAUCGCAAGAUUAAAACUCAAAGGAAUUGACGGGGUC
RNAcentral lists this ribosomal RNA (549 nucleotides) under uncultured bacterium. RNAcentral describes it as "partial 16S ribosomal RNA". It matches the Rfam family "Bacterial small subunit ribosomal RNA", at positions 355 to 920 of the family's 1533-position model. The record is from RNAcentral.